This 2902-nucleotide ribosomal RNA is filed under the name Proteus vulgaris. RNAcentral's name for it is "23S ribosomal RNA". It matches the Rfam family "Bacterial large subunit ribosomal RNA". Lineage: Bacteria; Pseudomonadati; Pseudomonadota; Gammaproteobacteria; Enterobacterales; Morganellaceae. The record is from RNAcentral.
GGUUAAGCGAAUAAGCGUACACGGUGGAUGCCUAGGCAAUCAGAGGCGAUGAAGGACGUGCUAAUCUGCGAUAAGCGUCGGUAAGGUGAUAUGAACCGUUAUACCCGACGAUUUCCGAAUGGGGAAACCCAAUAUCCAAUGGAUAUUAUCAUGACGUGAAUACAUAGCGUCAUGAAGCGAACCGGGAGAACUGAAACAUCUCAGUACCCCGAGGAAAAGAAAUCAACCGAGAUUCCCCUAGUAGCGGCGAGCGAACGGGGAACAGCCCAGAGUCUUAAUCAACAGCAGCAUCAGGAGAACGGUCUGGAAAGUCCGGCAGUAAAGGGUGAUAGCCCCGUAUCUGAAGAUGCUGUUAUUGUGAACUCGACGAGUAGGGCGGGACACGUGUUAUCCUGUCUGAAUAUGGGGGGACCAUCCUCCAAGGCUAAAUACUCCUGAUUGACCGAUAGUGAACCAGUACCGUGAGGGAAAGGCGAAAAGAACCCCGGCGAGGGGAGUGAAAAAGAACCUGAAACCGUGUACGUACAAGCAGUAGGAGCCUCUUUAUGGGGUGACUGCGUACCUUUUGUAUAAUGGGUCAGCGACUUAUAUUCUGUAGCAAGGUUAACCGUAUAGGGGAGCCGUAGGGAAACCGAGUCUUAACUGGGCGAAUGAGUUGCAGGGUAUAGACCCGAAACCCGGUGAUCUAUCCAUGGGCAGGUUGAAGGUUGGGUAACACUAACUGGAGGACCGAACCGACUAAUGUUGAAAAAUUAGCGGAUGACUUGUGGAUGGGGGUGAAAGGCCAAUCAAACCGGGAGAUAGCUGGUUCUCCCCGAAAGCUAUUUAGGUAGCGCCUCGUGAACUCAUCUUCGGGGUAGAGCACUGUUUCGACUAGGGGGUCAUCCCGACUUACCAACUCGAUGCAAACUGCGAAUACCGAAGAAUGUUAUCACGGGAGACACACGGCGGGUGCUAACGUCCGUCGUGAAGAGGGAAACAACCCAGACCGCCAGCUAAGGUCCCAAAGUCAUGGUUAAGUGGGAAACGAAGUGGGAAGGCUCAGACAGCCAGGAUGUUGGCUUAGAAGCAGCCAUCAUUUAAAGAAAGCGUAAUAGCUCACUGGUCGAGUCGGCCCGCGCGGAAGAUGUAACGGGGCUAAACCAUGCACCGAAGCUGCGGCAGCGACACUAUGUGUUGUUGGGUAGGGGAGCGUUCUGUAAGCCUGCGAAGGUGUACUGUGAGGUAUGCUGGAGGUAUCAGAAGUGCGAAUGCUGACAUAAGUAACGAUAAUGCGGGUGAAAAACCCGCACGCCGGAAGACCAAGGGUUCCUGUCCAACGUUAAUCGGGGCAGGGUGAGUCGACCCCUAAGGCGAGGCUGAAAAGCGUAGUCGAUGGGAAACGGGUUAAUAUUCCCGUACUGGUGGUAACUGCGAUGGGGGAACGGAGAAGGCUAGGUUGUCCGGGCGACGGUCGUCCCGGUUCAAGCAUGUAGGCAGAGUGAUUAGGCAAAUCCGGUCACUUAAUGCUGAGGUGUGAUGACGAACCACUAAGGUGGUGAAGCAAUUGAUGCCCUGCUUCCAGGAAAAGCCUCUAAGCUUCAGGUUACCAACAAUCGUACCCCAAACCGACACAGGUGGUCAGGUAGAGAAUACUCAGGCGCUUGAGAGAACUCGGGUGAAGGAACUAGGCAAAAUGGUGCCGUAACUUCGGGAGAAGGCACGCUGGCGGUAAGUGAAGUCCCUUGCGGACGGAGCCGAAGCCAGUCGAAGAUACCAGCUGGCUGCAACUGUUUAUUAAAAACACAGCACUGUGCAAACACGAAAGUGGACGUAUACGGUGUGACGCCUGCCCGGUGCUGGAAGGUUAAUUGAUGGGGUUAUCCGUAAGGAGAAGCUCUUGAUCGAAGCCCCAGUAAACGGCGGCCGUAACUAUAACGGUCCUAAGGUAGCGAAAUUCCUUGUCGGGUAAGUUCCGACCUGCACGAAUGGCGUAAUGAUGGCCAGGCUGUCUCCACCCGAGACUCAGUGAAAUUGAACUCGCUGUGAAGAUGCAGUGUACCCGCGGCAAGACGGAAAGACCCCGUGAACCUUUACUAUAGCUUGACACUGAACAUUGAGCCUUGAUGUGUAGGAUAGGUGGGAGACUAUGAAAUGUGGACGCCAGUCUGCAUGGAGUCAACCUUGAAAUACCACCCUUUAACGUUUGAUGUUCUAACCUAGGUCCAUAAUCUGGAUCGGGGACCGUGUCUGGUGGGUAGUUUGACUGGGGCGGUCUCCUCCUAAAGAGUAACGGAGGAGCACGAAGGUUGGCUAAGCAUGGUCGGACAUCAUGCGGUUAGUGCAAAGGCAUAAGCCAGCUUGACUGUGAGAGUGACGGCUCGAGCAGGUACGAAAGUAGGUCUUAGUGAUCCGGUGGUUCUGAAUGGAAGGGCCAUCGCUCAACGGAUAAAAGGUACUCCGGGGAUAACAGGCUGAUACCGCCCAAGAGUUCAUAUCGACGGCGGUGUUUGGCACCUCGAUGUCGGCUCAUCACAUCCUGGGGCUGAAGUAGGUCCCAAGGGUAUGGCUGUUCGCCAUUUAAAGUGGUACGCGAGCUGGGUUUAGAACGUCGUGAGACAGUUCGGUCCCUAUCUGCCGUGGGCGUUGGAAGAUUGAGAGGGGUUGCUCCUAGUACGAGAGGACCGGAGUGAACGCACCACUGGUGUUCGGGUUGUCAUGCCAAUGGCAUUGCCCGGUAGCUAAGUGCGGAAGAGAUAACCGCUGAAAGCAUCUAAGCGGGAAACUUGCCUCGAGAUGAGUCUUCCCUGUCACCUUGAGUGACCUAAAGGAACGUUUAAGACUAAGACGUUGAUAGGCUGGAUGUGUAAGCGUAGCGAUACGUUGAGCUAACCAGUACUAAUGAACCGUGAGGCUUAACCUG